AUUGAACGCUGGCGGCAUGCCUUACACAUGCAAGUCGAACGGUAACAGGUCUUCGGAUGCUGACGAGUGGCGAACGGGUGAGUAAUACAUCGGAACGUGCCCGAUCGUGGGGGAUAACGCAGCGAAAGCUGUGCUAAUACCGCAUACGAUCUACGGAUGAAAGCGGGGGACUCGCAAGGGCCUCGCGCGGACGGAGCGGCCGAUGGCAGAUUAGGUAGUUGGUGGGAUAAAAGCUUACCAAGCCGACGAUCUGUAGCUGGUCUGAGAGGACGACCAGCCACACUGGGACUGAGACACGGCCCAGACUCCUACGGGAGGCAGCAGUGGGGAAUUUUGGACAAUGGGCGCAAGCCUGAUCCAGCCAUGCCGCGUGCAGGGAUGAAGGCCUUCGGGUUGUAAAGCACUUUUAGUGGGGAGGAAUGCUCAGACCUAACACGUACUGGGAGCUGACUUAACCCAAAGAAAAGACACCGGACUAACGUCU
Molecule: ribosomal RNA, 484 nt
Filed under: uncultured bacterium
Lineage: Bacteria
Description: bacterial SSU rRNA
Rfam family: Bacterial small subunit ribosomal RNA
Source: RNAcentral